UCCAUUAUGUCCUAGUGGUUUGAGUGUUGGAUUAAGACUCUGAAGACCAGGGUUCAAUUCCCUGUUUGGCC
Non-coding RNA from Phrynosoma platyrhinos (Desert horned lizard), 71 nucleotides. The record is from the annotation of a GenBank genome assembly. NCBI's taxonomy places the organism in Eukaryota, Metazoa, Chordata, Lepidosauria, Squamata, Phrynosomatidae.